RNAcentral lists this ribosomal RNA (253 nucleotides) under uncultured bacterium. RNAcentral's name for it is "partial 16S ribosomal RNA". It matches the Rfam family "Bacterial small subunit ribosomal RNA", at positions 524 to 776 of the family's 1533-position model. The record is from RNAcentral.
UACGAAGGGGGCUAGCGUUGCUCGGAAUUACUGGGCGUAAAGGGAGCGUAGGCGGACAUUUAAGUCAGGGGUGAAAUCCCAGAGCUCAACUCUGGAACUGCCUUUGAUACUGGGUGUCUUGAGUGUGAGAGAGGUAUGUGGAACUCCGAGUGUAGAGGUGAAAUUCGUAGAUAUUGGGAAGAACACCGAUGGCGAAGGCAGCCAUCUGGACCGACACUGACGCUGAGGCGCGAAAGCGUGGGGAGCAAACAGG